GCUAAAUCGCUUAUACCGGUGUACUGGAAAAAAUCGAACGUCCCCACAUGGGAGGAAUGGAUCCACAGAGUUGAGGACAUUAGGGCGGCUGAAGCACUCCAGGUGGAACUGGCGGGUAGAGGAGCAAAAUGCGCAGAGACAUGGACACCGUGGUUCACCUUCCGUGCAGGUGCAUAGGGGGGAGCCGGUGGCUGGUUGGGAACCGGGAGACGGCGCAGCCCACACAGCAGAACCAUACCCUACGCUACAACUCAAACACCCUCCUACACUAGCAUACACAGGCACCACACCGAACAUCCCGAACAUAUCUCCUGCUUAGGCAGGGGAACACCACAGAUGACAACAGACGAAGGGAAAAGCGGCAAAGAAACGUACAUAAAAGAUCAACCGGAACACGGCUACACGCCAACAUACACAACAGGCCACGAUCCAACGAACAACCGAUGGAUGUUGACCUGACUAAUCCCACAUGACAACCUAACCACUACAACAUAAGACAGUAACAGCUAACUAAGAUCCCGAGGGAAACCCAUAACACAACACUAGAGGAGUGACUCUGGGUUAACUGGCUACUAGCCACGAUAAUUCCAUAUACCUGACACACGCACAGCAAAAUAUCACUCCCCUUAAAAGGAAUCUCGGAAAACUCACACUCCCUGUCCCCACCGACAUACGCAACAUAAUAAAUAACCUCCAUCGCACGUUACUCUCUAAACACUACAUCCCAACGUAAUGUAGGCCAGCCAGGGAAACAAACCCAAACUUAGAUGAAUCAUACGAGACACGGGGGACAAUACCCAAAGGAGGAAGGGAGACUCCUCACCACAGCGGCCCCAAAGAUAACCCUCCUUGGCUCUAUCACAUUACGUGAUACGAACGCACCGAGGACCGGAACACACAUAUGGAAAACCACACAACAGGGGGGGAUACUUAACGCAAUAUAAUUUCACUUUCGAUAACCCACACUAUCGUCUCCCGACUCCACUUGUACCAAAUGUUCCACUCGAAACUAACAUACUACCCCUACUUAGGCAAAUGACCCUUUUAUCCUAUCACACACCCCAAUACAUCUCACCACACUUUUGCACUUACCGACAAACUUUAACAAAGAUUAACGCCUGUAUAUGUGCAACUUCAAGGCACUGACAGACACUAAUACAACCACACUUGAUCUCACUUAUGAAG
This is a non-coding RNA of Pelobates cultripes (western spadefoot toad), 1185 nucleotides long. The record is from the annotation of a GenBank genome assembly. NCBI's taxonomy places the organism in Eukaryota, Metazoa, Chordata, Amphibia, Anura, Pelobatidae.